AUUCAUUUAUUAUAAAAAGUAUAUUAAGCUUCCAACUUAAAGGUUUAACAAUAAAAUGAAUA
Molecule: transfer RNA, 62 nt
Filed under: Kolla paulula
Lineage: Eukaryota; Metazoa; Arthropoda; Insecta; Hemiptera; Cicadellidae
Description: tRNA-Gly
Source: RNAcentral